This 330-nucleotide ribosomal RNA is filed under the name uncultured bacterium. RNAcentral's name for it is "bacterial SSU rRNA". It matches the Rfam family "Bacterial small subunit ribosomal RNA", at positions 568 to 898 of the family's 1533-position model. The record is from RNAcentral.
UCUGUAGGCGGUGCGGCAAGUCGGGAGUGAAAUCUCGGGGCUUAACUCCGAGGCUGCUUUCGAAACUGCCGUGCUCGAGUGUGGGAGAGGUGAGUGGAAUUGCAGGUGUAGCGGUGAAAUGCGUAGAUAUCUGCAGGAACACCAGAGGCGAAGGCGGCUCACUGGACCACAACUGACGCUGAGAGACGAAAGCUAGGGGAGCAAACAGGAUUAGAUACCCUGGUAGUCCUAGCCCUAAACCAUCAGGACUUGGCGUGGGUCCCGUUCGGGGCCCGUGUCGGAGCUAACGUGUGAAGUCCUGCGCCUGGGGAGUACGGUCGCAAGGCUGAA